GCUGGGCAUGGUGGCGCAUGCCUGUAAUUCCAGCUACUGGGGAGGCUGAGGCAAGAGAAUUGCUUGAACCUAGGAGGCAGAGGUUGCAGUGAGCUGAGAUCGUGCCACUGCACCUCAGCCUGGGUUACAGAGUGAGACUAGGUCUCAA
RNAcentral lists this non-coding RNA (148 nucleotides) under Nomascus leucogenys (northern white-cheeked gibbon). The record is from Rfam by way of RNAcentral. Lineage: Eukaryota; Metazoa; Chordata; Mammalia; Primates; Hylobatidae.